GAUGAACGCUGGCGGCGUGCCUAAUACAUGCAAGUCGAGCGAACGGACGAGAAGCUUGCUUCUCUGAUGUUAGCGGCGGACGGGUGAGUAACACGUGGAUAACCUACCUAUAAGACUGGGAUAACUUCGGGAAACCGUAGCUAGUACCGGAUAAUAUUUUGAACCGCAUGGUUCAAAAGUGAAAGACGGUCUUGCUGUCACUUAUAGAUGGAUCCGCGCUGCAUUAGCUAGUUGGUAAGGUAACGGCUUACCAAGGCAACGAUGCAUAGCCGACCUGAGAGGGUGAUCGGCCACACUGGAACUGAGACACGGUCCAGACUCCUACGGGAGGCAGCAGUAGGGAAUCUUCCGCAAUGGGCGAAAGCCUGACGGAGCAACGCCGCGUGAGUGAUGAAGGUCUUCUGAUCGUAAAACUCUGUUAUUAGGGAAGAACAUAUGUGUAAGUAACUGUGCACAUCUUGACGGUACCUAAUCAGAAAGCCACGGCUAACUACGUG
Molecule: ribosomal RNA, 497 nt
Filed under: uncultured bacterium
Lineage: Bacteria
Description: partial 16S ribosomal RNA
Rfam family: Bacterial small subunit ribosomal RNA
Source: RNAcentral